RNAcentral lists this long non-coding RNA (264 nucleotides) under Setaria viridis. RNAcentral's name for it is "long non-coding RNA (SVIR_LNC001775)". Lineage: Eukaryota; Viridiplantae; Streptophyta; Magnoliopsida; Poales; Poaceae. The record is from RNAcentral.
UUGUACUCAACUUCGGGCGAAUCAUACCCUACCCAGACUCCUGGAAUCCCCUUAUAUUUGAAUUUAAGUCAAGGGGUCGGGCUAGGCGAUCAUCCCGAGAAAAGGGUCGGCAAGCGAUCCACACAAAAAAGGGGUCGGGCGAGGCGGAGACUGCCUCGAAAGGUCGGGCGAGGCGGAGAACUGCCUCGAGGGGUCAGCGCAUCCGAUCUCGCGAACCGGGGUCGGCCAACUUGAACAGACCCACAGAAAACGGCGUGUGUGGUC